UGGCUCACUUGGUAGAGCAUGGUGUUUGCAACGCCAGGGUUGUGGGUUCGAUUCCCAU
This 58-nucleotide transfer RNA is filed under the name Salmo salar (Atlantic salmon). It matches the Rfam family "tRNA", at positions 8 to 63 of the family's 71-position model. From Rfam's summary of the family: Transfer RNA (tRNA) molecules are approximately 80 nucleotides in length. Their secondary structure includes four short double-helical elements and three loops (D, anti-codon, and T loops). Lineage: Eukaryota; Metazoa; Chordata; Actinopteri; Salmoniformes; Salmonidae. The record is from Rfam by way of RNAcentral.